Molecule: ribosomal RNA, 234 nt
Filed under: uncultured bacterium
Lineage: Bacteria
Description: partial 16S ribosomal RNA
Rfam family: Bacterial small subunit ribosomal RNA
Source: RNAcentral
GACAGAGGGUGCAAACGUUGUUCGGAAUUACUGGGCGUAAAGCGCGUGUAGGCGGCUAAGUAAGUCGGGCGUGAAAUCCCACGGCUCAACCGUGGAAGUGCACUCGAAACUGCAUAGCUAGAGCCUGGAGAGGAAGGUGGAAUGCUUGGUGUAGAGGUGAAAUUCGUAGAUAUCAAGCGGAACACCGGUGGCGAAGGCGGCCUCUGGACAGUGACUGACGCUGAGACGGCGAAA